RNAcentral lists this ribosomal RNA (138 nucleotides) under uncultured bacterium. Its description in RNAcentral is "partial 16S ribosomal RNA". It matches the Rfam family "Bacterial small subunit ribosomal RNA", at positions 355 to 509 of the family's 1533-position model. The record is from RNAcentral.
UGGGGAAUAUUGGACAAUGGGCGCAAGCCUGAUCCAGCCAUGCCGCGUGAGUGAUGAAGGUCUUUAGGAUUGUAAAGCUCUUUCACCGGAGAAGAUAAUGACGGUAUCCGGAGAAGAAGCCCCGGCUAACUUCGUGCC